ACGCCUGAUACUAGGCUCUUACCAUCAGAGUUGAUAGAAAGAAUAUUUCUGUAUCGAAGGAAUUGAUUUUCCCGCAAUACUAAAAUCUUUUUACUUUUGGUGAGCAAAGUUUCAGGUGUGC
This 121-nucleotide microRNA precursor is filed under the name Gyrodactylus salaris (gyrodactylosis fluke). Its description in RNAcentral is "microRNA gsa-mir-87 precursor". Its record names the gene gsa-mir-87. Lineage: Eukaryota; Metazoa; Platyhelminthes; Monogenea; Gyrodactylidea; Gyrodactylidae. The record is from miRBase by way of RNAcentral.